This 71-nucleotide transfer RNA is filed under the name Neotoma lepida (desert woodrat). It matches the Rfam family "tRNA". Rfam says of the family: Transfer RNA (tRNA) molecules are approximately 80 nucleotides in length. Their secondary structure includes four short double-helical elements and three loops (D, anti-codon, and T loops). Lineage: Eukaryota; Metazoa; Chordata; Mammalia; Rodentia; Cricetidae. The record is from Rfam by way of RNAcentral.
GGGUGUAGCUUUAGGGAUAGAGCACUUGCCUAGCAUGCAUGAAGCAUUGGGUUCAAUCCCCAGCACCACCA